RNAcentral lists this non-coding RNA (64 nucleotides) under unclassified sequences. RNAcentral's name for it is "DUF3800-IX RNA". It matches the Rfam family "DUF3800-IX RNA". From Rfam's summary of the family: Actinobacteria, Firmicutes (1 example), Nitrospirae, Proteobacteria, Verrucomicrobia (1 example). The record is from Rfam by way of RNAcentral.
GCCCCCAGACCAAACUGUGACGUUUAUCGUCGCUUGCCCGAAAGGGAUAGGUCUGGGGGUUUUC